This 24-nucleotide non-coding RNA is filed under the name Arabidopsis thaliana (thale cress). The record is from RNAcentral. Lineage: Eukaryota; Viridiplantae; Streptophyta; Magnoliopsida; Brassicales; Brassicaceae.
AUAUAGCUUAAUAGCCCUUUUCCC